Molecule: ribosomal RNA, 450 nt
Filed under: uncultured Glomeromycotina
Lineage: Eukaryota; Fungi; Glomeromycota
Description: SSU rRNA
Rfam family: Eukaryotic small subunit ribosomal RNA
Source: RNAcentral
AGCAGCCGCGGUAAUUCCAGCUCCAAUAGCGUAUAUUAAAGUUGUUGCAGUUAAAAAGCUCGUAGUUGAAUUUCGGGGUUAGUAGAUUGGUCAUGCCUCUGGUAUGUACUGGUCUUACUGAUUCCUCCUUCCUGAUGAACCGUAAUGCCAUUAAUUUGGUGUUGCGGGGAGACUGGACUGUUACUUUGAAAAAAUUAGAGUGUUUAAAGCAGGCUCGCGCUUGAAUACAUUAGCAUGGAAUAAUGAAAUAGGACGUUCGAUCCUAUUUUGUUGGUUUCUAGGAUUGACGUAAUGAUUAAUAGGGAUAGUUGGGGGCAUUAGUAUUCAAUUGUCAGAGGUGAAAUUCUUGGAUUUAUUGAAGACUAACUACUGCGAAAGCAUUUGCCAAGGAUGUUUUCAUUAAUCAAGAACGAAAGUUAGGGGAUCGAAGACGAUCAGAUACCGUCGUAG